CGAGCGGUAAUCGGAAUUACUGGGCGUAAAGCGUGCGCAGGCGGUGAUGUAAGACAGUUGUGAAAUCCCCGGGCUCAACCUGGGAACUGCAUCUGUGACUGCAUCGCUGGAGUGCGGCAGAGGGGGAUGGAAUUCCGCGUGUAGCAGUGAAAUGCGUAGAUAUGCGGAGGAACACCGAUGGCGAAGGCAAUCCCCUGGGCCUGCACUGACGCUCAUGCACGAAAGCGUGGGGAGCAAACAGG
This 242-nucleotide ribosomal RNA is filed under the name uncultured bacterium. RNAcentral describes it as "partial 16S ribosomal RNA". It matches the Rfam family "Bacterial small subunit ribosomal RNA", at positions 535 to 776 of the family's 1533-position model. The record is from RNAcentral.